GAUGAACGCUGGCGGCGUGCCUAAUACAUGCAAGUCGAGCGAACGGACGAGAAGAUUGCUUCUCUGAUGUUAGCGGCGGACGGGUGAGUAACACGUGGAUAACCUACCUAUAAGACUGGGAUAACUUCGGGAAACCGGAGCUAAUACCGGAUAAUAUUUUGAACCGCAUGGUUCAAAAGUGAAAGACGGUCUUGCUGUCACUUAUAGAUGGAUCCGCGCUGCAUUAGCUAGUUGGUAAGGUAACGGCUUACCAAGGCAACGAUGCAUAGCCGACCUGAGAGGGUGAUCAGCCACACUGGAACUGAGAGACGGUCCAGACUCCUACGGGAGGCAGCAGUAGGGAAUCUUGCGCAAUGGGCGAAAGCCUGACGGAGCAACGCCGCGUGAGUGAUGAAGGUCUUCGGAUCGUAAAACUCUGUUAUUAGGGAAGAACAUAUGUGUAAGUAACUGUGCACAUCUUGACGGUACCUGAUCAGAAAGCCACGGCUAACUACGUG
RNAcentral lists this ribosomal RNA (497 nucleotides) under uncultured bacterium. Its description in RNAcentral is "partial 16S ribosomal RNA". It matches the Rfam family "Bacterial small subunit ribosomal RNA", at positions 28 to 507 of the family's 1533-position model. The record is from RNAcentral.